This is a long non-coding RNA of Orbicella faveolata, 1204 nucleotides long. The record is from RefSeq and is a predicted model, not a curated record. Lineage: Eukaryota; Metazoa; Cnidaria; Anthozoa; Scleractinia; Merulinidae.
UAAUUUUCAGUCAUGUUAAACACAUACAUUGAAUUAAUUUAGAAUCUGUUUAAUGUAUGUAUGUAUACUUAAUUGGCCACUCCCCAUUGGGGCUUUUCAGGACCAAUGUAAACAAACAAUGAUAAACAAAUAUUCAAAUAAACAUAACUAGGUUAAGAAUCCCAACUGGUGGGAGGCAGACCGGUUGGCUAUUUAUAAGUGCAGCGGAGAAGUUGAACUCAGGGCUACUGAAAACAACAUCAGCGGUCAGAAAGGGAUUUAAACCCAGGACCUGUAGACAGAGUUCAAAUUCAGUGCUCUAACCACUUGGCCACGCUGCUUCCUCUAUAUAUAGAAAGAUUCAUUUGAUUUAAUUUAUUUUUAAGCAAUGUCUGCCAGAGUAUUUUUCUCCUUGGGAAGAAGUUGCAAGAGAUCUUCCUCAACUCGUGAAAGAAGCUGAUUGUUUACGUCAAAGGAUUAAAGAUCUUCCCUUGUUAGAUUACAAGAAACUGUCUUCUGAAGAUGAGUGGAAAAGAGCUCAUUUGGUUCUUUCCUGUCUUUCCCAUGGUUAUGUCUGGUGCAAAGGAGACACAGGAGUAGCAAAGAUUCUUCCAAAGUGUUUAGCAGUUCCCUGGGUGGCAGUGUCGAACCACUUAGAUAUCCCUCCAGUAAUAACACACUGCAGUUAUGCCCUUUACAACUGGCGAUACAUCGACCCCAACCGACCUCGUAAUAUGGACAACUUAGAAAUUUCUGUUAAAAUGACGGGAUCAUGGACUGAGGAUGGAUUUGUAAAAGUUCCACUUCAAGUGGAGUUAGAUUUUGGGAAAGGAUAUCAUGUAAGGCUUUGGCACUGUGUUUGUAAUAAAUAUCCGAAUUUUAACUGGAGCCUGGCAGAUGGCCAUAUAUCUCAUUACUUUGGCCUUUAUUUCUGUAUGUACAUUUAAGAAAGUUCUUCCAUUAAAUGAGGAAAAUUCAAAGCACUAACUCGGGGUUGUCAAAAGUAGCCAGCUUCGGUUGCCUUGAUAUGCUUUUUUUGUCAUUACUCUAACUUAUGGUGGCUCAAAACAGUCUCCAUUGCUCUUUCCAAGAGUUAGAUUUUGAUGGGUCAUCAUAACCACUUUUUAUCAAUUGAUGCUAUAAUCAUGGUGUCAAAACACUGCUCAAUCAUUGGUGAACACAUUGUUAUCAUUCUCGUGACACAAUAGGUUACCAUAGCAACAGU